UGGGGAAUUUUGGACCAUGGGGGAAACCCUGAUCCAGCCAUCCCGCGUGUGCGAUGAAGGCCUUCGGUUUGUAAAGCACUUUUGGCAGGAAAGAAACGUCAUGGGUUAAUACCCCGUGAAACUGACGGUACCUGCAGAAUAAGCACCGGCUAACUACGUGCCAGCAGCCGCGGUAAUACGUAGGGUGCAAGCGUUAAUCGGAAUUACUGGGCGUAAAGCGUGCGCAGGCGGUUCGGAAAGAAAGAUGUGAAAUCCCAGAGCUCAACUUUGGAACUGCAUUUUUAACUACCGGGCUAGAGUGUGUCAGAGGGAGGUGGAAUUCCGCGUGUAGCAGUGAAAUGCGUAGAUAUGAGGAGGAACACCGAUGGCGAAGGCAGCCUCCUGGGAUAACACUGACGCUCAUGCACGAAAGCGUGGGGAGCAAACAGG
Molecule: ribosomal RNA, 429 nt
Filed under: Acidobacteriota bacterium
Lineage: Bacteria; Pseudomonadati; Acidobacteriota
Description: Acidobacteria bacterium partial 16S ribosomal RNA
Rfam family: Bacterial small subunit ribosomal RNA
Source: RNAcentral